GUAGGUGGCAAGCGUUGUCCGGAAUUAUUGGGCGUAAAGCGCGCGCAGGCGGUUCUUUAAGUCUGAUGUGAAAGCCCACGGCUCAACCGUGGAGGGUCAUUGGAAACUGGAGAACUUGAGUACAGAAGAGGAAAGCGGAAUUCCACGUGUAGCGGUGAAAUGCGUAGAGAUGUGGAGGAACACCAGUGGCGAAGGCGGCUUUCUGGUCUGUAACUGACGCUGAGGCGCGAAAGCGUGGGGGAGCAAACAGGAUUAGAUACCCUGGUAGUCCACGCCGUAAACGAUGAGUGCUAAGUGUUAGGGGGUUUUCCGCCCCUUAGCGCUGCAGCUAACGCAUUAAGCACUCCGCCUGGGGAGUACGGCCGCAAGGCUG
RNAcentral lists this ribosomal RNA (373 nucleotides) under uncultured organism. RNAcentral describes it as "partial 16S ribosomal RNA". It matches the Rfam family "Bacterial small subunit ribosomal RNA", at positions 527 to 896 of the family's 1533-position model. The record is from RNAcentral.